AAAUUGUGUACUACUACUUCUAAUCUAGUACUUAAUAAAUUGAUAUAAAAUAAGACAUCACAAAGUACAGCAUCUAUAAUCAAAUAUUGGCGACUGAAGUGGUCCAUAUAUAAGCUCUUUACCAUUACCUACUUCCUAAUUCCUAUAUGUCUUUCCCUCUAUAUCUUCUUUACAAGCUUUUUGCGGAGAAGUGAUAGAACAAUAUUUUAUUAUUAUUAUUAUUUUUUUUGUUUUAAGAAAAGAUGAUUUCUUUCCGUGGCAAGUAUUUCAUCAUCAUCAUCUUCACACUGAUUGUCCAUGGGCGUCUUGGAUUUUCUGACAACAAUAAACUCCAUGAGGCCGAAGGUACGAAGUACUCUUUAGAACCCAUCUUAUUUUAAUCGUUUCCAACUACGAAAUUAAACAAAAGAUUCUUCCUUUUAUAUCGUAUCUCGUACGUGUAUGUGUAUAUAUGCAUCUCUGUCCCCUUCAGGGUAAUUUGAGAAAUUUGGAAAUUAAAGCACUUUCCUAAUCUGUGAUGAUGAUGAUGAUUGUUUGUUUUGAACUGAAAUUGGGAAGUGAGAGCACUAAAGGAGAUAGGGAAGAAGAUAGGGAAGAAAGAUUGGAACUUUCAAAAGGAUCCAUGUAGUGGUGAAGGCAAUUGGAUUGUCACCACUUACACAGCCAAAGAGUUCGAGAGUAAUAUCACUUGUGAUUGCUCCUCACUUCCUCCGAACUCGUCUUGCCACGUCACCCGAAUGUAAGUAGUCUCUUCUUCUUCUUCUUCUUCUUCUUCUUCUUCUUCUUCUUCCUCCCCUUAUCUUCUUUAUUUUUCACCUAUUUUUGGUAUAUACAAAAUAUCUCUAAUCUAACAUUGGUGUCGGUGCCAAGCCAUAAACUGUACAUUUGGUUUUGAUCAUCAGUGAAUCCAGUAAAAUAAACAAGGGGUAUUGACAUUUCACCGUUAGAAUUUGCUUUGGCAUGGAAUAUUUAGGAGUUUCACGAUCUGCACAAUUUUACUUAUUUUUGUUAAAAAGUCCUUAAGCUAACACGUUCGGUAGUAUGGUCACGAAUUACUUCCUUCGUAAUCGUGAGUAGGUUUGUAGAUUUAAUUAUCUUUUUCAUUAACUGCACUACGCACGCGCUUUAAUAACAGCCGCUAACUAUAUACCCUGUUUUUUUUUAUGGGUAAAUUUGGGAAGUUGUACUAUUUCGGGCAUUGCAGAACUAGUAUACAUAUAUACUAAACCAAUAGGAUCGUAUUAUAUAACGUGACGUUGGAAAUUUUAAAAAGAAUAAAAUAAAAUUCUACAUUAUAUACUGUAUAAGCUUAUUCUACUGUUUUUGUUUUCUUCUUUCGCUAAUAUGCACUUCUCCAAUGUUCUAGUUCUAAUAUCUUACUAAUUAAAGUCUGAAAUGUUCUAGUUCUACUACGUUAUAUUACUGAUCAGACUGACAUUUUAGUUAGAAAACAUGAUUUAAAGCAUAAUCGGUUUUAGGAUGACUAAGAGAGUUAAUCAAGAGUUUGGUGGAAGUACAAAGCACUUGCAAAACUAAGAUUAAAAAGCUUUUAGUUAGGGUUGUCUCUUUGUGACGACAAGUUUACUUGCCAGACUGGACAUUGACUGCUGAUCGUUGACCCAUCCGUUGACGCCAAAGUUCCAAACUAAUGAAACGAUUCAAAAGAAAAUAACGCGUUUGCUUCAGCUGUAUUUAAUACUAGUAAUGACUAGAAAUGUGAGCGAGACUUAAUAAAUCUAUAACGACCAAAGUAUUGAUGAUACAUGGAAACUAAUCCAAACAAGAUAUUUCUUGUUAUUAAUUUUUCUUAAAGUUUCAACAAAUUCAAGUUUUUUUCAAUUGUUUAAUAAUUUUCGGAAAUAAUAAAAGAUACUGUAUAAGUGUAUAUGAAUAUGAUUUAUAUAACAUCCACUACUUAAUUAGUUGCAUGAUUUGAAAAUGUUUUCAUUAACCAAUAAAAUUAAUUUAGUUUGUUUCAUAUUUACAUAAAGAAAAAAUAGCAUAAACGUACUUUAUCAAUUUUAUAAAUAUCAAUUUAAAAACAUAAUAUUACAAAUUACUGAUGCGUUAUAUAUCAUCACAAUUACACCUCAUCGCAUUUAUUUUUUUAGUUCAUUGAAUUGUUUGUUGAUUUUCUUUGUUUUAUAACUUACACUUCAAUAUAUAGAAAUUAGCCCCCAACAGUUUUAAGAUGUUUCUAUACCGCCCCAAAAGUUGCAGUUCCUUCCAAAAAUACCCUCUUACUAACGAUUUUUUUUUUUUGGGGGGUUACUGAUCAUAUAUUUGUGGGUAAAUCGUAAUCCUAUAUCCGGUUUAACGUCAUAUCCGGUUUAACGUCAUAUCCGGUUUAUUAUCGCAGAGCACUGAAGUCGCAGAACUUAACAGGCACCGUCCCUCCAGAGUUCUCUAAGCUUCGUCACCUCAAAGUUUUGUAAGUGAUCAAAGGUUUCAGAUUUCCAUACUUUCUUCAAGUUUAAUCAUAGAAAUGGCUCUUAACACGUACAAUUUGGUGCAGAGACCUUAGCCGUAACUAUCUAACUGGUUCCAUUCCAAAGGAAUGGGCUUCUAUGCGCUUAGAAGAUUUGUAAGAUCUUCUAUCUUACUUCUGUAAUGAAUUGAAAAUAUAAUCUUUUUUCUUUAUUAAAAUCUGUCGUCUUUCAUGGGGUUGAUGGAUAUAUCUCCUAUAUUGAUGUACAUACACAGAUCUUUCAUGGGGAACAGAUUGUCUGGUCCAUUUCCGAAAGUCUUAACCCGCAUUACGACCCUCAGAAACCUGUAUGUUGUUGUUAAACUUAACUUAAACAGGCUGAGACUUUUCUGGUUAUGUUUGAAAAAUAUUGCAUUUUGAUUCUCGAGCUAUUAAUGUAUAUUUGAAUGUGUUCAUCAUUUGGAAUUAUGUAGGAGCCUCGAAGGAAAUCAGUUUUCAGGACAAAUCCCUCGUGAGAUUAGAAAGAUGAUUCAUUUGGAGAGGCUGUAAGCUUAUCUUCUCUCUUUUCAUCUUACAAAGCUUUUCGUGAAUACUCUAUCUAUAUAUCGAAAUCCACAAUUGGUAGGAAUGUUUUCUCAAGACAUCUAAAGCCAUUUGGCUUCUUAUUCAUUAUCUUAUCAUAUUCUCUGUUUUUGACUCAGUCAUCUUCCUUCAAAUGCCUUCACUGGACCAUUGCCCGAAGAACUUGGAUUGCUCAAGAACAUGACUGAUAUGUAAGAGAUUUAAGUGUUGAUACAUAGUUGAUAUGACUAACAACAAAUAAACAAAUUUAGUCCUUGUUGGAUAAUUUAUUUAUUGUAUUUGCGGGGAUUGUAGGAGGAUAAGUGAUAAUACUUUCAGUGGACGAAUACCAGAUUUUAUCGGCAAUUGGACAAGAAUAAUGAAACUGUAAGAUUGUAUUUUUUCCUCUGUAUGUACUUGCAUAUCCUCAAGAAAGAAAAAUAAAAACCAAAGACGGUGUUUUUGCAGGCAGAUGCAUGGUUCAGGUUUGGAUGGUCCGAUACCUUCCAGUAUUUCUGCCUUGACCAGCUUGACCGACCUGUAAGCCAUCGACAAACUACUUCUUUUCGAAUUUAUUUUCCUCGUGAAAACAAUGUCACAAGAACAUUCAUCAUCACAGUUUUUCUUUGGUGGGUUGUGAUUGACAGGAGGAUUAGCGAUUUAGGAGGCAAACUAUCUUCCUUCCCUCCAUUGAAUAAUUUGGAGUCUAUCAAGACACUGUGAGUUUAAAACAUACAGCUUUUGUGUUGUCGUAGCAGUAUAAGUUUGCUAGAAAACGUUUUUUAUUCAACUUCCAAUGCAGGAUACUGAGAAAAUGCAAUUUAAAUGGCCCAAUUCCAAAGUAUAUUGCGCAUCUAAAGAAGCUCAAAACACUGUAAGUCACGUUUUCAUUCAUACGUUGACCAAAGUAGAGCUUUAGAAUGAUUUUAUAUUUCCGUGAGAUUGAGCUCUGUAAGUUUAUCAUGUUUACUGUGUAGUGACCUCAGUUUUAAUCUCCUAACUGGUGAGAUUCCGUCAUCGUUUGAAAAUAUGAAGAAAGCCGAUUUCAUGUAAGUGCGUCACGAAGGGCAAAUGAGAAAUUAGUUUAGAAUAUUCUUUUCCUAAUCAUGAAAGGAUUUCUAAAAUAUUAUCUUUCAGUUAUUUGACAGGAAACAAGCUGACAGGAGCUAUUCCAAGCUCCUUUGUUGAAGGAAACAAAAAAGUGUACGAAUACAUGCCUCUGCUCAAUUUCCAUUGUUCCAACUUAACACAGAUUUCAAAAACUGUAUUUGUUCUUCUUGGUGUGCAGAGAUGUUUCUUACAACAACUUUACUGAUGCAAGCUCAAUUCUCAGUGGUGGUUGUAACCGAGUUACUUCGACUUCGUAAGUUAAUUCAAUCUAUUCUUAUAUUCAGAAUACUGUAGUUUGCUCAUACCUUAGCAGAAAUAACAAUGAUUUGCUUCAUUUUAUAGGAAUUUGGUGGAAAGCUUCUUUAUGGGAAAUAAAUCGUAAGAAACUAUCUCUCUGUAUACAAAAGGCUCUUUUAAGUAAACUGAUUGAUGCUCAUAACUUUGUAGUGGUUUAUUAGUCGUCUUUUCAGUUAUGUUUAGUUAUCUUACCGAAUGUGGUCUCUGUUUUUUCCCUCUGAGUUUGAUGUUUUAGACACAAGGAUUCAUCUUGUUAUCUUCAGCACUUCCCUUGUCUUCGUCCUAAGAGAGACCGUAAGCAACAGUAACGCUUGUGUUGUUUUCAUCAUAAUUCGGAUCAGAUCAUUGUUCUUAAUUAAAAAUUGAAACUUUCUUGUAGAUAAAUAUAAAUUGUACAUAAACUGCGGAGGAGGUGAAGUAAAAGUGAAUAAAGGAAUAACAUUUGAGGCUGACGCAGAUCCCAGAGGCCCUUCUAUGUUCUUCCCUGCCCCUGACAAUCACUGGGCUUAUAGCAGCACCGGGAACUUUAUGGACAAUGAUGAUGAUGCUGAUGAUUACAUUGCGCACAACACAUCUAGAUUAUCAGUUAAUGCUUCGUCUCCCAUCUCUGAGCUUUACAGGACAGCUCGAGUCUCUCCUUUAUCGUUGACUUACUACGGACUUUGUCUCGGAAAUGGGAACUACACUGUCAAACUCCACUUUGCUGAGAUCACCUUUACCGAUGGCAAUACAUUUUGCAGUCUCGGAAAACGCUUCUUCGAUAUUUAUGUUCAGGUAUGUCUAUAGCCUUUUAGUCACACUGCAAAUAACAGAUUGCAUUCUUUACUUACUUAUUUAUCUUCUCACAGGAUAACUUAGUGAUUAAAAACUUCAAUAUUCAAGAAGCAGCUGGCGGUUCGGGUAAGCCAAUCAUAAAAUCGUUUCCGGUGAAUGUAACGGACCACACUCUGAAGAUUGGCUUGCGAUGGGCUGGAAAAGGAACAACAGGGAUUCCAAUUAGAGGAGUUUAUGGUCCUAUGAUAUCAGCUAUAUCAGUGGAACCUAGUAAGUUUUUAUUAUUUGCACUUUUUUAAAAAAAUGGAUCAUGAAAUCUCAUUUGACGGAUUGAUGAUUGUGGCAGAUUUCAAACCUCCGGUAUAUCAUGACAAAAAAGAGAUCAUGCUAAAAGCAGGGAUACCUGUUGCAGCAGCACUUGUUUUGUUGAUCAUAGUGGGCAUAUUCUGGAAAAAAAGGCGUGACAAAAAUGCUAUUGACAAAGGUAUAAAUUGAAACUUUAAUUUUUCUUAUGAAUGUAUGUAUGUAUCCACAGAGCUGAAAAGUUCCUACUUUUAUGUAUAAGGUCGUUUUUAAUUUUGUUUUGUCAAUGAUAUGAACAGAGCUAAGGGGUUUAGAUCUUCAAACUGGAACUUUCACUCUACGACAGAUAAAAGCAGCCACUGAUAAUUUCGAUGCAACCAUGAAGAUUGGUGAAGGUGGAUUUGGCUCUGUUUACAAGGUAAUUUCACUUGUAUUCCUCAACUCCAUUAGCUCUAUAUGAAAAGCUUUAUUAGAAAAUGUAUACAAUGUGAAAGAGAUAUUAAAAGGUAAAGGUGGUGCCUUUGCUUGGUACAGGGUGUAUUGUCAGAGGGAAAAUUGAUUGCAGUUAAACAGCUGUCCGCAAAAUCAAGGCAGGGAAAUCGCGAGUUUGUAAAUGAAAUAGGAAUGAUCUCAGCUCUACAACAUCCAAAUCUUGUGAAGUUGUAUGGAUGUUGUGUUGAAGGAAACCAAUUGAUAUUGGUGUAUGAGUAUUUGGAGAACAAUUGUCUAUCUCGUGCGCUUUUUGGUAUGCUUUUUUAACUUUUCCGAGUUUGCAAGUGCCAAAGUAUGUAUGUAUCUGGUGAAAUGACUGCUCAAAAUCUUUUCUUUCUCAGGACAGGAAGUGAGUGCUAGACUGAAACUAGACUGGUCAACAAGGAAGAAGAUUUUCUUGGACAUAGCUAAAGGACUGACAUUUCUCCAUGAAGAAUCUAGGAUUAAGAUUGUACAUAGAGAUAUAAAGGCGAGCAACGUGUUACUCGAUAAGGAUCUCAACGCCAAAAUCUCUGACUUUGGUCUGGCAAAGCUGAAUGAUGAUGGAAACACACACAUCAGCACCCGUAUCGCAGGAACUGUGUAAGGAGGCUCUUUUGACACAUUAGCUCAAGCAGAGACUUGUUAAGAGGAUACAUUUUUUCUUGAUAUUUUCAUUUUGCAUUGCAGAGGUUAUAUGGCUCCUGAAUACGCUAUGCGUGGUUAUUUGACUGAAAAAGCGGAUGUUUAUAGCUUCGGUGUCGUUGCACUCGAAAUCGUAAGCGGAAAGAGUAACACAAACUUUAGGCCAAGCGAGGAAUUCGUUUACCUUCUUGAUUGGGUAAAAAAUCUCUUCUCUUUCAGUUCUACUUAAGUGUAAACUCAAUGAUAGAAACAAAACCAAAGUAUGUAACUUAAUUUUGUUGCAUCAAAUACAUGUAGGCUUACGUUUUGCAAGAGAGAGGAUGCUUACUAGAGCUGGUUGAUCCAACGCUAGACUCGGAUUACUCAGAAGAAGAAGCCAUGCUGAUGCUGAACGUGGCACUAAUGUGCACCAACGCGUCACCGACGCUAAGGCCUACAAUGUCUCAAGUGGUGAGUCUCUUAGAAGGAAAGACAGCGAUGCAAGAGCUGCUGUCGGAUCCGAGCUUCUCAACGGUUAACCCGAAGCUUAAAGCCUUGAGGAACCAUUUUUGGCAGAACGAGCUGAGCAGAACGCUUAGCUUCUCCACAAGCGGGCCUUGUACUGCCUCUGUUCAUUCACAAGUUGAUGCUGAGGAGAAGACUGGCCUUUUGGAUUAAUUAAGUUCUUAUAUAUAGAAUAGAAUUUUUAAAAACUCCAAGUGAGUUUCCUAGGAGUGGUGAAAUUAGAUUGAACACAAAAAUCAGAUGAAAGACUAAUAUACAAAAAUUGUAGACAAAAGUAAUGCUUGGCACUAUAUCCGUAUUCAUCUUGUUUUCGCCAUUUGCUUUAGAAGAAUAAAUAUUCGUUAUGGUCAAUGAAGGUAACUGGUAUUAACAUGAUAAUUUCAGCAAAUUGUAAAUAUAUAAAAGCCGAGUAUCAAUGGGUUUUUUUGUACAACUUUACCAACUAUCCGAGUAUCAAGCCCAACACUUGAAGCGUUUUUACAACAUGAUUCUUCUAUUCAGAGAUACAUGUUGUGCCAUGAUUCUUUUUCGACAUUCGAGAUGGACCAAAGACUAUACGAAUAUAUUUGGUCAAAUCCGAUUGUUCGAAACACCGAGUAAAUGACUAAAUACAAAAUUAGACCGAGUCAGGCCAUGUUGUGAGAAAAUUUCAGAACUCCGAAUAAUUGAACAUAUGGAUAUGAAGAAGACAGAAGUUCUUGAAUCUUUACUAUAUCCAUAAACUCUGGCAAAUCUCAAAAUGGCCACACGACUUAAUUAAAGAUUUUAUCAGUACUUCAGAAGUCUCUAUUACUUAUGUGUCCCGUUUUUUUUUGUUAACGUCGUCAGUCGUCACGUGUUGGAAACAAAGAAACCGACCUUGUUUGAUAAAAGUUUGGAUCGUACAAAUACAACAAAAAGAGAUAUAUGAAUGUCAUGUCGAAGAGAAGUAAAACAAAAUAUAACUAAUUUCUUUUAAGAAUUUACUACCUUCUCUAUAAUCUUGGAACACUUAAGCUCUAGUUCGAUUUGUUUUUCAAACUGGAAUGUGUGUUUAUAUUUAUGUAUGGCCUGUUCACGUGUGACGUAUUUGUGUGUGUGUGUAAUUUACAGGUACAAAGAGAGUAAGGAGUAAGCUUUUUGCACAGAUAUAAAAAGCUUAAGAGGGGAAAAGCUGAGGGGGGGGGGGGGGGACGGUGCAAUUAAUUGACAAGGAAUCAGAUUCCCACACCACUAAUGUUCUUUACUUUUGUGAUCCUGUCCUUAUCAUUUAUUCCACGUUUUAUUUCUACUACCAUCAAUUUUAUUAAUUGAAUAAAUAAUCAACGUGAACACAUAUUACAGCCCUAAAAAGGCUGUAAACUCAGUGAUUCAAUAUUUUUUGUAGUUUAGUUUUGGAGUAGAGCAUUUUUCGGAAAUCCAUCACGAAGAAAAUCGAACCCAAGGCCGCACGUAACGAGUUAUGCCCGUAGCCUUGGUGGCAUUAUUGCCACCACGCUUGUUUCCAAAAAUACUUACCACUAUAAUAUAGUAUAACGACUUUUGUGAAAAGAGUUUAUAUUUUGCAUGUUUAACAAAGAGAAAAGAAUCUUUUCUAUGGAUUUUGGUACUUUGCAAUAGGCUUUUGGCGUGAGCGGCAUACGUGACUUAUUAAAAGGCUCCAUAAAAGUGAGAGAAGCGUUCAAAAUUAACCCUUUCGUUAUAGAUUUAUGUUAAAUUAUAAGCAAUCAUUUCUCGAUAUUCAUGAAGAUAGAUGAAUUUCGCCUAUCCCAACAAACAAAAUUAUAUAUAUACUAUUGUUUUCCAAAUUCCAAGGCAGUACUCUAUCACAUUUUAACAUUAAUACAUGUCAACUCUAUAUGCCACCACUACAAAAACAAACGAGUGAUUCGUGAUUUUUUUUUUUUUUCAUACUUUGUCAGCUUACUUUUGAUUAUGGGCGUGAACUAAACAUUUAUGAUAAAAAGAAACGACAUUGAAGUUUAAUUUAAGAGGACAUUUUUUUUUUUGAACAUUUGUUAAGAGGACAUCUAAUUGGAAAAUCAAAAAUUCUUCUAAAAACGAUAUUUAUUAUAUUGAAAUGGAUCGAGAUAUAUUUAUAUGUACCUAGAAUUGGCAUAUUAUAAUGUUCUCUGUUUUUUUUUUUUUUUUUGGAACCUUUUGUUCUUCCAUAUACCAUAUCAGUGUUAUCACAAAACUAAGUUUACGUGAAACACAAUUUCCGAGGAAAAGCCGGAAAGUAACUUAAUCUCAAAUGAGCAUUUAUCCAUUAUAAAGGGUGAAAGCAGACGAAGAACGAUAAGAGUAUACAUGAUGGUUUUGGUAUAUGGAAAGGUCUUCGUGAUUGAUUCAUGCAUGAACGUCCUUUUAUUAUUUUCCCUUUUUCUGUUUAUUAAGUAGACAAAUUUAAGAUUAUUCGCGGUGGCGAGUCUUGCCCCACUCGAAGCAUUACGUAGUGUUAUAAUAAUGUUGCAAGUAGGCUAUCUUUGGCGGUCCUUUUCUGAAAAAGAGGUUUCGCAAUUGCUAAACGAAACGAGUGAUGACGUCAAAAACCAAACACAACCAAAAAAAAAAAAAACGAAACGAGUGAUCAAUGAAGAGAUAAGAGAAAGAUCAAAAGGAGAAAAAGGAAAAGAGUAGAGAAAAUGUAGAGACAAACUGCAAAAUGUAAAGCUCUUUUAACAAGUAGUACGUUUUGUUACAUAAUAUUUUGGCCCAAUAUAUAAAAAGUUGUAGUCGCAAACGAGCGACUCUUUUUCACUUUGAAAACCAUGUUUCAUUACUGUGGUGAUGCUUUAUUUUCUUCAAGUAAUUUAGUCUUGAUAAAACAGAUUUUUUAUCAGAAAAAUCCUUAAACGUUUAUGAAUAUUCAUCGUUCAUUUCAUUUUUUUUUGUGUAAUGAAUGGCUAGUCCUAAUAUUAACUAAUAAUUAUUUAAGUAAACAAACUAGAAAACAAGAGCAAAAAAAAAACUGCAACUUAGUCAAGUUGAGAACUUGUGAUAGGACGUAAAAUACAUCACAAGAAGUUUUUCACAUCUUCUUAAAAUAGCUUGCCUCGUGCUCACCGGUCACCUAUUUCUCUUGGGUGAAGAUCGUUUGUUCAAAGGUAGAUUCCAAAUUUCCAACUUUAUUCAUAUGUAGUCGUAAAAUACCAAAUUUGUAAAUACAAAUAUUAAGAUACUGAUGCAAUUAUAUAUAUAUAUAUAUAUAUUAUGCAAAAAAAUUACUCACCAUUAUGUAAUAGACAAGAUCCCACCAAAAGUGUAAUAGAGAAUGACGAUGAUCUGCUUUAGAUAUGGCAUAUGGGGCUUGGCAUCCAAAUUAUAAAAAGAUGUCAUAUAUAUUAUUACUGAUUGAUUAUACCCAUACACUUAAAAUCCAUUUAAAAGAUAAUAAAAGUGAAGUGAUAGCUUCCAGCUAAUUUCUUUCUGAAAAUAACCUAACAAAUUUUAGUUCCAAAAAUACCAUAUCACUUGAUAAUCUCCGUUUUGUCUAAUAGAUCUAACUUUAAUAUUCUUUUUGAGCCUUCAUAGAUGAUAUUCAUUUUGAAAUCUACAUUUACUAUCCUUUGUAUGAACAUCUUAUUUUUCCGGAAAAAAAGAAGAUAUCAAUUAGUCACAAGAAACAAAGAGAAUAGUAUAAGAAAAUUCAAAAGAAAUCCAUACUUUUACUAUAAAAACUGAAUUUUGAUAUAAAGAAGAGAACGUGAGAUAAAGAACAGAGACACUCGGUUAAAGAACAGAUAUAUAUUAUUUGUCUCCGAAGUGUAACUAUUUGAUGAAAGCAAAACCAUGCUUUUUUAUAGAUGUAUAUAAACAGACUUCUAUACAACCUUUACGGUUUAGUAAUAGAUAUAGUUAUAUUAAACACACAACAAAAAUUAACUUUACUUUUCAAGUAGUGGGGUAAUAGUACUCCGUAAUUGUUUUUAAGUUAAACUUGGAACUUCAUUUAAUUUACAGUACUACAUCCGUUUCGUUUUAAGUAUUUCUUUUAUAGAAACUUUUACACAAAUUAACUUUAUUUUUUUACGGUACAUGUUUUUAAUACAAUAUCGUUUUCCAAGUAACACUAUAAUUUGGCCUCACAAAUUAAAUAAUUAAACUAGUUGAAAACUUGAAUAGUGUUACAAUCUUUUCAUAGUAUUAUGGUAUAGUUUCAAAACAUAUCUUCCCCUAUAUAUUCCAUAGACGUCUGGGAGAGGAACCUUAUAGGCGAAGAAAUGUCCCCACUCAAACCCUAAAAAAAGGGAAUCACAACUAAAAAUUACACAAAGAUGAAUUAUAGACGCGUAUACACAUGAGGAGAUGAGAGUGGGAAUUAUACAAAUAUAUAGAAAUCAUAAAAAGAACCAAAACUCCUUUUCUUUUUUCUCGUUAAAAAAGCAUUUUAUUUCCUUUAAUUUGUCUUUGUUCUGCUUCUCUCUUCUCACUUUCCUUUUUGAUUUUCUGCUCUCUCGCGUUUCUCUUUGGUCUUGCUUCCUCUCUUUCGUUUUGCCCUUUUUUUUUGAUUCCCCCACCAAGUUUUUCCUUGUAGUUCUUUCCCCUAAAGAUCCAUCAAACUUUAUUAAAGAAGGAAGAAGAAAGAGAUAAUAAAGGGUAUAGAAGAACAAUGUUUUUCUCAUCCAAUUGGUCACAGGUUUCACUCCUUUGAUCUUUCAUUACAAAAUGUUCUCUCUGUCUCUCUCUCUUUCUCUCUUUUUGCAAUUUUUCUCUUAAAUUCGUCAUUGAUGUUUUGAUUCGUUUAGUAAUAAUUUUGAAUCAUUUCCAAAAGAUAUUCCUAUUCUCCUCUUCUUUUCUAUAACCAGCUUUCUUUAGAUUUCCAACAUCUAUAUAUAUGGUAUUUCUUGCUUUAGAAAUAAAAAAAUUACACUAGUAUUGAAUUUGGAGUUUCUUGGUUCUUUCAUUUAUUUUGAUUACUUUGGUUGUUUUUUUUUUUCAGCCGACGAACUCGAAUCAUCAGAUUCAUCAUCAACUUCAUGAAAAUGGAAGUAUAGUUAAUGGCGACGGGCUAUUCUCUCACCAACUAAUUCCACCUAACCCACAAAACCCUAACCCUAACCACCACCAUGCUGCUGUCUCCGGUGGUCAUCCGGCGAGGCUGGGUGGAUCCAUGGCGGAGAGAGCGAGGCAGGCCAAAGCUCCUCCGCCUGAGGGAGCCCUAAAGUGUCCUCGGUGUGACUCCAUCAACACUAAGUUCUGUUACUACAACAACUACAACCUCACUCAGCCUCGCCACUUCUGCAAGGGUUGCCGCCGCUACUGGACACGUGGCGGCGCCCUGAGGAACGUCCCCGUCGGUGGAGGCUGCCGGAGGAAUAGCAAAAAGGGCAAAAAUGGUAAUUCAAAAUCUUCUUCUUCUUCGUCCAAACAGUCUUCUCAAACGGUCAACACUCCAAGUUCUAGCUCAGGACAGCUAAGGACAAAUCAUCAGUUCCCCUUUUUACCAACACUUCACAAUCUCACUCAACUCGGAGGUAUUGGUUUGAACUUAGCCGCCACUAAUGGCAACAACCAAGCUCCUCACCAGAUCGGUUCAAGUUUGAUGAACGAUCUAGGGUUUCUUCAUGUCGGAAAUGGACGAAACACUUCAGCUCCGAUAACCGGAAACAUUCAUGACAGCAACAACAACAACAAUGAAAACAACCUAAUGGCCUCCGCUGGAUCGCUGAGUCCAUUCGCUCUCUUCGAUCCAACGACGGGGCUAUACGCUUUCCCUAACGAAGGCAAUAUAGGAAACAACGUCGGAGUUUCUUUUUCCUCUACUUCCAUGGUUGAUUCUAGAGCUUACCAGACCGCUCCGGUGAAGAUGGAAGAACAACCCAAUCUGGUUAACUUGUCUAGACCGGUCUCCGGUUUAACGUCACCGGGAAACCAAACAAAUCAGUACUUUUGGAACAAUUCGGAUUUCUCGGGACCUUCUUCUAACGAUCAUCAUCAGCUCUUGUGAGAUUUUGUGUUUUGUGGGAUCAUUAAUGUAUGUUAUGACGUGGAGGCUGAUUUAAAUGACUAGGAACGGUCAGGAUCAAAUGCAUGCAGAGUACGUGUGCGGGACUAUAUAUGAUCAUGGAGACGUAAUGAGACAACCGAAAAGGUAUCUUGAUUAGAGUGUGUGGAUUCAACAACUUAAGAUCGAUACUUAUUUACAUAUAGAUAUUCAGGUGUGUCAUAUAAUUUGUUUUGUAUUGUGUGGUUUCAUGGUUAUCUGAUUCUCAAAUUGCUAUACCUCGAUGAAUUUGUGUCGUUUGUCGGUUUGUGUAACAGUCCAACUUAUAUAUUCUUAAUUUUAACUAGAUCUCAUUGAAUGUAUAAUAUUUUUCAGCUAGUUCUACUAGUACUCAGUUUUCGUUGAAAUUCAAUUCGUUAUAGGUUUGCCUGACCAAAAUCGAGUAGUGAACAUUACUAACGAUCUAUCAUUUCUUGAUUAUUAAUAAAAAAUUAUAAUAUAUAAAAAGCUAAGGAUAAUUCAUAAAGUAAAAAUGGGCGUUGCUGACUAAGGAACAGGAACUUGAUCAUACAAAUCCGUGUCUCUCUGGAUGUUAUGUUUUAAAUUUCCCAAAAUACUAUUUUUUUCUCAUAUUUUUAGGAACUUCUUUUUCUUUUACAGUCUUCUUGUACGAAUCUGUGUGUCAGUCUGUUUUGUGUGGGUGCAUGAUCCUCUAUAAACAUUACUAAAUCUAUGCAAACCUUGUAUAAGUAUCUAUACAGAAUAAAUAAUAAUAUUUUUUUUGUUGCAUGGAUUAAAUCAUACUUACGUUUAGUUUACCCUUUCUUAUACACAUAUUUUCGGCUGAAUGUUGAAUAAAAGUUUGUAGGAUACAAUAAUCAAUCUAAAACCAGCUAGCUAGAUAAUUUUUAAUUAUAUUAAUAUUAAGCAAGCUUGUUUUCUUAACUGUAGAUUUUGAUCAGUUAGUGUAUAAUACUACCGUACUAGUAUAGUCUAAUGUGAAAAAUUUGGCGUCUGGUUUAGUGUUGAUGUUGUUGCAUUCUAUGUUAUUAAUUUGCAAUGAAAAUAACGAUUUUACAAGCAUAAUACGAUAGGGAAAAUAAAGUGGAGAAUAUAAUGGAGAAAACGUUAAACAAAGAUUGACACGGAAAACAAUGCGUGCAUAGAUUAAGUAUGUCCUGACCGGGACCCUCCAACUUUUAUGAUAGUCCCAGAUUUAACGGUAGGGUUAAAAUCAUUUUGAAAUGCUUUUUUGACUCAACCCUUUUUUCUUUUUUUCUUUUACUUAUGACUGUUUUCCUAAAAUUAAACUGUGUAAAAAAAUGUGUAUGCUACUACAUGAUAUAAUACUGUCUUUUUCUCAUCUGUAGUAUCUUAACCAUCUUUUUUAGCAAGUGUUGAGCAAACAAAAUUUACAUAUUGACAUCCAUAAUCCAAAAAGGUUUCAAAUACUACAAAACACAUUACACAUAUGAUAACAUUUCGUAAAUCCUUAUGCUAUUACUCCUAGAUUACGUACGUACUCAACUCCUUUUCUGUCAGAAUCAUUUCCAGCGUUGCUUUCAGCAUCAAAUUCAGAACUUUAAGCAUUAUCGUCAGCAUACACAUGGUGAGAUUCAGUCACAUAUCUUUCUCAUGUAAGAAAAAAUUUAUAACCAGUUAUAAAGUGACAAGUAUUACAAGAGUACUAUCUUAUGAUUUUUUUGUUUAGGUUCUCACUUCUCAGACGAGAACCAAUUUUAUCUCUCUAUUCAGUUUUCAAUUUUCUUAUUUACAUAAGAGACCACCACGUGUCACACUCUCACUGACGCUUCGUUUCUUCAGUCAUAAUUCCUCUCCCCCACCACUCGCUCCCUCUCUUACGUCACUGAUAUAAAAUUGACUUUUCUUCUUAAGACCACAUAAAUCUAUCUAAUGUCGUACUUAGUUCAAUUUGAUGAAUUUGGCGGCAUAUUCAUUCACUUUGGUUAGGGCAGUUGUGAUAAUUACUAUUCUUAAUCACGCCGGGGCAACUAAAGUCUUUUGACAUAGUUUUAUUUUUACGUUUUGUUUAUGAUUUUAGUUUCAUAGGGACAUACUUUUUUUUUUAAUCUCAAAGCUGUUAUGUAUACGCAUCGUUUGGUGGCCACUUGCUAGCGAAAUGUUCCCAGUCUAUUGUUUUGUCAACCAAUAUUACCAAACAUACUAACAUUAAGAUUUUUUUUGUGGUAAAAUUACUAACACUAAGAUGUUAAGUAUAUCUUGUUCGUUUGCUUAGUAAAGUUUUGUUUUUUCCAUUUCCCUUUGAAUAUUUGGUAGUCAGAAGUCUUCUUUUAUGCGGGAGCGUGAUUAAGGUUUUAAUCUUCCAAGUCAACCUUAGCUUUCACGUCAAUUUUGGCUUAGCUAACCGUUUAGACGUGCUCAUCUGGUAAACUGAAACUCCAAUCUAGUUGGACAAAAUUAUUUAUAUAUAGAGAACAUCCUAUAAUUAUUUGGACAAAAUAGACAUAAAAAAAAGUCUAAGCGGGCAAAAAGAUAGCAUACUUCCAAUAAAAUAGUAUUUAACAAUUUGCCACAAACAGAGGCAGCCUAACAACUACUCAUCCUACUUGAUUGGUUGGUGAACAUACUAUACCAGCGCAAGUGGCUUCGGUCUUAUUAAAAUAAUCCAAUUCUAGAAACUUUAACUACUUUCAAACUGGUCUUAUUUUGAUUUUUAAGCUCUGACCAAAACAAAUUAAUACUUAUACAGGUAGUUCUGUAAAAUAACUAUUUUUGUUUGCAUUGAAAAAACAAAAUCAAAGUAGUAUGAAAAACUUCAAUCCAUCAUAAAAAACAAGACCGAUAUGAAACAGUGUAUAUCGAAUAUUAAUAUUGAAUAUCUUACUAUUAAAAAAUUAUAAUAUUUUCUCUUAAAAUAAUGAAUUUUAUAAAUGUUAUAAUAUCAAUAAAAUAAUAGCAUUCUAUUAAAAAAAAAAAAAAUAAUAGCAUUUAAUACCUUUUCAAAUAAUAAAUGUGUACUACCAAAAUAACGAAAAGGAAAGUAAAUGAAACUAUAUAAUAAGAACAAAACUAAGGACAAAAAUAUUUUUAGUAAAUCCGUUACUUAAAAGCUAAAAAUUACUAGAUAUUAAAUUUAAUGUAAAAUGUAUUUAUUAGGGAAAAAAGAAAACAUGUAUUCAUGAUGGCGUGUGAGCGUUAUAUGUAUAUAUAUGAAACAGACAUUUGACGAUUUUCAACCAGUAGACCGGGCCAUCUCUGGCGGGUAAAGUAGAACCACAUAGCAGAACGAAAAGUCUCACUUUCUUGUUCAACGUCUUCCUCGUUUUCCAUCUUCUUCUUCCAGACACCUUCCGUUGCAUCAUUCAAGCCCUCUUCGGUUUUGUUGUUGUUCCUUAUGUUCUUCGGUUUUUAAAUACUCAACCAAUAACACCUGGAUUUAAUAGGCUAUUUAUUGUGUCGCUGAAUCGCUUACUUCUUCUUGAUCAGGUCAGCUUCUACCGGAUAAACUCUUUUAACAUUUUAUUCCUCUAUCCUUUUCCAUUACUUUCAAUUCGGGUUUUGAUUGUUAUUAUUAUUAUUUUUAACAAAUUGGUUCAGUAAAAUGGAUCAAGAAACACAUAUCGUUUCUUUGAUUGAUUACCUUUUUUUUUUUUUUUUUUUACGAUUUCAGACAAGCUACAUAGCCUGGUCUGUCUAAUUUUGUGUUUGUUUAGUACGUCCGUGUUGUUGACCUCCUUCUUCACACGUAAUCCAAUAUAUAUAUUUUUCUGCCGAUCCAAGGAUUCAAAAUGGGGAAGCGUUUGAAAAACGAGAAUACGAGCCAAAGACAUGGCAAAUAUUAUCACAAAUCAGGAUGGUUAACCGGAAUGCUUCAUCUGCUUGAUUUUCACCAUUGGAGAACUAAGAACCGCCCAAUCUGUAAGCCCAUCUCGUAAACUUUUAUACUUAUUUUCUUAAAGUAAAUUUUUGAUUUUAAAUAAAAUUAGUAAAUAUUUUGAAUGAUGGGCUACUCUGUGUUCAUAGGUUGGAAGACUCCAAGAACACAUUCCUUGGUGCAUGAAACUGAUGAACAAGAACCGUUUCUUGAUUCUGAGAAAGGAGAUUCAAAUAUGCUUAGUGUUGUUGCAGAGAAGCCAACGAGAAAACUGAAGAAGACGAUGACAACAAAGCAAGUAACAGAGUACGUUGAUUUUCUUGAAAUCUUGAGAAAACAAGAUGUUUUUGUCAAGAUACUGAAAGAUCCGAAUUCGGAGUUCGGGAAGCAAGUCCAUAUCAAGUCUAAUCCAAGAGUUUUGCCCAAGUCAGGCUCGUUUCCUCUCUCACGCUCUUCACGUCCCGCUAAGAUUGAACACAAGCAGAGGGAGAAUUGGUAUUCCCCAAAACAGAACGGUGCCGUUUUGACUUUGAAUGUUCCAAGAGACACUUCUCAGGAACAACAAAAACCAAUCUUACCUUCUCAUGGCUCACCUGAUGAUCAUGGAUUUAAUCACGCGGUGUUAAGUGGAUUUAGAGAAAUCAAGAAGUUACUCAAGAACGCGCUUAAAGACCGAAAGCACAAGAAGAAGAACAAGUAUGCUUCUGUCUCAAUAGAUGAUUCUGUGGGUAGAUACUCUCAUCUCUUGGAGCAGAGUUUUAGAACAAAAGUUGGUGAAUUACGUUCCAAGAGCUUAAAACUUUCAUAUGAAGAGAAAAAGAGUGAUUCGAGAGAUGAUAAUAAACCACAAUUCUUCAAACGGAUUUCGUCAUUGUCCAGCCUUGAAGUUCUUAGUUCAUUUCUGACCGACCUGCCCCGAGACAGUUCUACUUCCAAUCUAGAAGCUAGGAAAUCUUUAGAUCAAGAUACUAACGUUGUGCCCAAGAAAUCGUUAUUACUAUCUGAAUCUCCGCCAAAAACAGAGAAGGAAGAAAAAGAUGAGGAGCAAGAUGAGAGAAACCAAGAAAAUCAUUUAGACAGCCCAAACAAAAGAGUCCUGCAACAAGAUCCAGAUUCUGUUCCUAGUACCGGUUCCUCCGACAAUACUGCACAAAAGACGGAGACUUUACCCUCACAAGGUAAGCUCUUGAAUGAAACAGUUCAGUACUCUUUGAUAAGGGAAAUAUAUAUAUGCAAAUCUCAUUUCUAUAUAUGCUUGUUCUACAGGUUUAGAUCUAAGUUCUUUUAAGAUUUACAACCAUAAAGAAGAAGAAGAAGAUGAAGAUGCUUGCUUUUGUUUUGUAAAGAAGGUUCUGGAACUUUCAGGUUUCCUCGAAAACGAACACAACGUAGAAAAAUGUCACUCAGAGGAACAACCACUGAACCCAUCACUGCUCUACGAACUCGAUAUACAAGAAGAAGCAGUGAACAGAGAGCUUCUCUUUGAUUUGGUAAACGAAGCAAUCGCUGAGUCUCACAGCCAAUCACACAUCUAUUUCCCUAAAACAUUAGCGUUUGCAUUUCCAAAUGGGAAACGUUUUCUUGAAGAGGUGUGGGGAAGAGUUGAGUGGAGCCUCUCUGGGUUAGGAGCUGAGAAUAGAGAUCGUUCAUUGGACGAUAUUGUGGGAAGAGAUCUUACGAAGGGUGAUGGAUGGAUGAAUCUACGAGCUGAAUCUGAAUGGCUGACUCUUGAGCUUGAAGAUCUGAUUUUUGAUGACGUUUUAGAUGAAUUGCUUAGUGAAUGUUAGUCUUUUGGAAUGUCUCAGUCAGUUUUUUUUUUUAAUAUGUAUACAUGUAUAUAAGUGUUUGAUACAAAUUCAAGAUUUCUAAUUUCUGAGAGGAACAGCUGAUUGGCAAACAUGAUUCCAUGAUUUUGCAUGUUUUUUUUCACCACUCACAAUUUUUUGCUGAAUUAAUCAAUUUUUUACAAUAAACUAUAUCAUGCCAAAAAUAAGAAUCCCAAGUUUUUAGUAACACUGCUAAAUACGUCAUGCGCAAAACAAAAAAAAUAUAACGGGCCUUGCCAAAAAAUAAAUGUAACGAGUUUUUAGUUCCUCUUUUGGGCCGAGCCCAUCACUUUAAACCCUCGACCUCCGUCUUUCUCUUUCUUCACCGACAACCACCACGGCGACAAAUCCCCGAUCGAUCAAUUUCCUCGGCGGGAUACCAUCCUGUGUCUCCUCGUUGCUUAUCUCACUGUAACUCUCUUUUUUAGCUCGCCGGAGAACUGUCGGAGAUAAGUUGAUGUGGCUGAGCCGGGCGGUUCCCGUUCGAUAUUUGGGAUCCUAUCGAAGAACUCAAAAACCGCCAUGGAUGAGAUAUCCUGUUGUCUUCUACUCAGAUUAUACGGAGAAGAAAGAAAAAGUCGCGCCUAUGCAGGUUCGAUUCAUCAUCUAUUCACUUCAUCCACAAACACCCAAAACAAAACCCUCUCUGUUGCUCUUUUUUUUUUCCUAAAGAAUUUGUGAACUCUAAGUUGUGCAGGAGACUAGAAUGAGAGAUAGGUUUACGCUGUACGCAAGAGGCGGUGAAGGUGGCAGUGGUUGUUCCAGCGUCCGCCGGAGCCGUACCGAUCGCUACGGAAAACCUGAUGGUACUAUCCCGAAUUGAUGAUACAGAAAUGUUAUGUACUAUAAUCCAUACUCAUGUUCUAGAUUUUGUAUAGUUAGAACUAGAGUGCUGUUUUAGUGGAUGUAUCUGACAUGGAAAGAAUUUUCGAAGGUUGUAAAACAUGGAUUGUUCGAAGAAUGUUGAUGUUAAUUUAAAUUGAAAUUAGUUCAGGUGGAAAUGGUGGGAGAGGAGGUGAUGUGAUCUUAGAAUGCACACACGCAGUUUGGGAUUUCAGCGGAUUACAACCCCAUGUUGUAAGUUUACGCCUUUUUUUGGUGUGUGGGUCUUUGAAGGAAGAUGCAAUUCGCGUCGAAACCGAUUAUAUUAUCUAACUUUUAUGAGUUUUGCAGAAAGGUGGGAAAGCUGGACAAGGAACUUCCAAGAACAGGAUUGGAAACAGAGGAGAAGACAAGGUUUUGUUUUCUCUCAUUGGCGUUUCUCUGCUUCUUUCUUUUUAUCUUGGGGGAACUAAAAACAUCAUUUCGCAUUUUUGUGUCACACCACAGGUCCUGCAAGUGCCUAUUGGGACGGUUAUUCAUCUUCAAGAGGGUGAGAUUCCAUCUCAGGUUCAAGUUGACUCUCCCAAAGAUUUGGAUCCAUGGGACCUUCCUGGUACACUGGUUGAGGAUCCUGCAUCCGAGGAGAACCCUGAUCUUCAUCAAGAAAUUACGCAACACUCUGUUCAAGUUGAACCUGAGAAAGAAAGUGUAAAAAGACAUGUAGGCACGCCAGAGGAAUUUGAUUUUGAAGACGAUGAAGGAGACAUCGAUCAAGUCAAGUAUAAUGUUGCGGAAUUAACAGAACAAGGUCAGAGAUUAAUCAUUGCUCGUGGUGGUGAAGGCGGUUUGGGUAGUGUUUCCGCAACACGUUAUGUAAGAGGCACCAAGUUCGGUAAAACAGCGAUCCGUCAAAACAAGUUGAGGAGCAUGGAGGACGAAGCUGAUGAUGAGGAUGAUGAUGAUGAUGAUAAUGAACACUCGAGUAUUAAAUCUGGUUCCCUCGGUUCCGAGGCUGUCCUGAUAUUAGAACUCAAGAGCAUUGCUGAUGUUGGACUUGUCGGGAUGCCAAACGCCGGGAAAAGCACGCUUCUUGGUGCGUUAUCACGUGCUAAGCCCCGCGUAGGCCAUUACGCGUUCACGACGCUUCGUCCCAAUUUGGGGAACGUAACCUACGAUGACUUCUCCAUGACGGUAGCGGAUAUUCCGGGGCUCAUAAAAGGAGCUCAUCAGAACCGAGGGCUAGGGCAUAACUUUCUCCGCCACAUCGAACGUACCAAAGUGUUGGCUUACGUUGUGGAUUUAGCAUCGGGGCUAGACGGUUGCAAGGGAGUUACACCGUGGCAACAACUGAGAGAUUUGGUGAUGGAGCUUGAGUUCCAUGAAGAAGGGUUAUCGGAUAGGUCGUCUGUGAUCGUGGCGAAUAAGAUCGAUGAGAAUGGCGCGGAUGAGAGAUUGGAACAACUUGAGAGGAGAGUGAAAGGAGUGAGGAUAUUUCCGGUUUGUGCGGUUCUUGAAGAAGGUGUGGCUGAGCUUAAAGAUGGUUUGAAAAUGCUUGUAAACGAUGAUCGUGAGGGAUCGGAGAGACUAAAAUUGGAGAAUAUCUGUGUUGACUAGUUGAGUUUUACUUGUUGUCAAGUAUCCAAUCAAAUUUUCAGAUUUUAGGUUCUCUUGAAAAAUAGGAGAACAUUUCUUCACUUUUAUUUUAUCUUUGCAAUAUUUAUGAAAAAACACAAACUUUUCUGUUAAGUGAAUGUACACAAAUUCUACUGUCGAAAAAUUAACUUGAAUCAAAAAAGUAAAAACUCAAUGAAAACUGCAAUUAUUCCAAAAACAUUAUCCAUCAGUCCAUCCAUGUCUAUCAGAAUCCGAACAAUAAAAUUGAAAAGAAAUGUCAGUACCACUUUUGAAAAUAUAGGCCAAAUUAUUACGUAAACGAGGGGGCACGUAGGAAGUCUAAAAAGAGUUUUGGAUUUGUGAUGGAAAAAGAGGGCCAAUUAAAGUGAAUUCACCAAUUCAGGACCUUGAAGGGGCAAGAAAAAGCCAACGACCUCACCCUACUUAAUGUGUUCCCUAUUCCUUUUUAUUUUCUUUUAGCCAGAGACUUGACCCAAACAAUAUUGUGUGGUUCUUGCUUCUUCUUUUUUGGCGCUCCUCAACAUCACUAAGGGGAAAAGUUUAUACCUAUCUUACUUUCGGCAUCGGACACAAAAAUAGGCCUUGUUCAGAAGUGAUUCAAAAUACCAUAUCACAAAUCCAUAAACUUCGAUGCCGAUGUGAUCCAAAACUGUCUUUGAGAAAGUUUACGUUAUUUAGAAUUGUCGCUAUUAGUAGCAGGGACUGCAACAUACUUGAUCUGAGGGGAAAAAAACCCCAUAUAUAAGAUCAUGAGGGAAAUACACCAUGGUACACACAAUUGCUAAAAGAAAGUACACUAUAUUCAAUUUUGCACUAGAUAUAAGGGGAAAAAUACCAUGUAUAAAAUCAUGGGUUGCAUUUAUUUUCAACUGUCAGUUAAAUUGAGAUUAAAUCUUGUGGUUUUUACAUGAUAUCAACGUUCUCUUAAUCCAGAUGGAAAUUUAUCCUUUUUUGUUUGUCAACAAACAAAUUUUUAUCAUAAUAUUGAUAAGUAGUAGAAAGAACGUAGACAGUAUCUUGGGUUGUCAAAUGGCUACAUGAGGAUUACUAAAAAGAGGAUACUAACUAUGUACUAAUCUCUUGGUAAUAUAAAAUAAAUUAACAGAAGAUAAUAUAUCUCACUAAAUAAGUUUCCAGGACGUAUAAGAUAACAAUAGUUUACGACUUGGAUAAAGAAAGGAUGUUGUAUUAUAUAUAUUAAGAGUCUUACCAAAAAAAAUAUAUUAAGAGGAGGAACAACAUCCUCGUGAUAAAGACAUUAGCUAUUGUCAAAGACAUAAUAUAUAUUAAGCUUGAGUUCCUCCUCUUAACGGAGGAUAAUAUAUCUCACGAAGUUUGUCUUGACAAAAUUAUUGAUCUAGCAAGUUGCUCCUUGUGAUAAAGACAUUAUAUAUAUAUAUAUAUAUAUAUAUUGUAAUAAAACAAGUAUAUAUUAAGCAGAUGAAAGAGGCAUGCUUUAUGCCUCUUUUUUUGGUCGGCUGCCGUUUACUAAUAAAAUCGUAACUCUUGUAGCGUGUACGACCUUUUCCUUAUUCCAUAAUAAUUUGACGUUCUCCAUUUUACACGAUACUCUAAUUUCUUGCUGAAACUCAAAUAAAAUGUUAAUACAUUCUUGAAGCCAUUAGAACAAUCUAGAUAACCGAAAAUACUGGGCAAGUGAUGUUGUUUACGUAAUUAAGAAAAAGUUGAUGUUAUUCCGAAAAUACUGGGCAAGUGAUGCUCAGCUGCAUUUAUAGAAGAAACCGACAUAUAAUUUAAUGAUUACAUCAUCUAAAACAAAUUUUUAUCUCUUUUAGCCACUUCAUUUAAACAAUUUUUUUUUACACAAUAAUGUUUUAAUUUAAGACAACAGUAAUAAGAUUCUGUAUACAAAUUUUAAGGUUUAAAUUAAAAUAAAUAGCAAUUUUUUUAAUUAACACAAGAUGUGAUGAUCUCUCUGUUGAAAACUUGAAAUGCUCUUUGUGGUAACUUCUUCCAAAAGCAUUUCUAUUGAAAUUAUCCAAACACGAAAUGACACGUGUAUGGUGGAUAGAAAACCGAAUCUUUCUCUCCUCCUAUAAAUAGUGGUCAUUCCCUUUGUUCAAAUCACACAGCACAUAAAGAAGAACAAGAAGAAAAACAAAUUACAAAUUCAAAUCAAAGAGAAGUAAGAGAAGCAAUGGCAGGUUCUAACUGUGGAUGUGGCUCCGCUUGCAAAUGUGGUGACUCUUGCAGGUAACCCUUUAUUCUACCUUCUUUACCUUUACUUGCAUAUACGCAUGUGGUUGCUUUCUCCUUAAUUUUUUUUUGGCUUAAAUUUCAUCUUAUUAAUUACUGAAAUUUCAAAUAUUUGUUUUUUGUUUUUUUGUUUGGUGAAGUUGCGAGAAGAACUACAACACGGAGUGCGACAACUGCAGCUGUGGAUCAAACUGCAGCUGUGGGUCAAACUGUAGCUGUUGAAGGGAUUGUGGUGCAUAUCACAUAUUUGCAGGAAAACUGGGGGAAAAAAUUGUGUUUGAUGUUAAGAGAUUUGUGUGUGUUUGAAUAAUGACUUGGCAUGGUGUUGCGUAAUAACUCUCUUAACCUUGACUUUUUCCUGCUUUGUAUUUUUCUAUGUGUUGAAUGGUGUGAUUGUGUAAUGUUUUAAUUUGUAACCUAAGAACAAAAAAAAAGAAUAUAUAUUGACUAUUGUGAUUAUUAAGAUUUGUCUAUAUCUCCUCUCUCCAUAGUAGAGUAUAGGGUAGGGUUACUCAGCUAAAUGACCCAUGUAAAGUUGUUUAUUUUUAGAUAAAUGACCAAAUGGUAAAGAUACUGUA
RNAcentral lists this long non-coding RNA (23953 nucleotides) under Eutrema salsugineum. RNAcentral describes it as "long non-coding RNA (ESAL_LNC000656)". The record is from RNAcentral. Lineage: Eukaryota; Viridiplantae; Streptophyta; Magnoliopsida; Brassicales; Brassicaceae.